AGACCCGAAACCCGGUGAUCUAGCCAUGGGCAGGUUGAAGGUUGGGUAACACUAACUGGAGGACCGAACCGACUAAUGUUGAAAAAUUAGCGGAUGACCUGUGGCUGGGGGUGAAAGGCCAAUCAAACCGGGAGAUAGCUGGUUCUCCCCGAAAGCUAUUUAGGUAGCGCCUCGUGAAUUCAUCUCCGGGGGUAGAGCACUGUUUCGGCUAGGGGGCCAUCCCGGCUUACCAACCCGAUGCAAACUGCGAAUACCGGAGAAUGUUAUCACGGGAGACACACGGCGGGUGCUAACGUCCGUCGUGAAGAGGGAAACAACCCAGACCGCCAGCUAAGGUCCCAAAGUCAUGGUUAAGUGGGAAACGAUGUGGGAAGGCCCAGACAGCCAGGAUGUUGGCUUAGAAGCAGCCAUCAUUUAAAGAAAGCGUAAUAGCUCACUGGUCGAGUCGGCCUGCGCGGAAGAUGUAACGGGGCUAAACCAUGCACCGAAGCUGCGGCAGCGAACGUAUCACCCAAGACAACUUUACGGAGUUGACGAUUGACGGAGCGAAGCGACGUCAAAGCGUUCAUUAAAGUCGAGUUGGCUUAGGGAUACGUUCGUUGGGUAGGGGAGCGUUCUGUAAGCCUGUGAAGGUGUGUCGUGAGGCAUGCUGGAGGUAUCAGAAGUGCGAAUGCUGACAUAAGUAACGAUAAAGCGGGUGAAAAGCCCGCUCGCCGGAAGACCAAGGGUUCCUGUCCAACGUUAAUCGGGGCAGGGUGAGUCGACCCCUAAGGCGAGGCCGAAAGGCGUAGUCGAUGGGAAACGGGUUAAUAUUCCCGUACUUGGUGUUACUGCGAAGGGGGGACGGA
Molecule: ribosomal RNA, 848 nt
Filed under: Salmonella enterica
Lineage: Bacteria; Pseudomonadati; Pseudomonadota; Gammaproteobacteria; Enterobacterales; Enterobacteriaceae
Description: partial 23S ribosomal RNA
Rfam family: Bacterial large subunit ribosomal RNA
Source: RNAcentral